RNAcentral lists this ribosomal RNA (484 nucleotides) under uncultured bacterium. RNAcentral's name for it is "partial 16S ribosomal RNA". It matches the Rfam family "Bacterial small subunit ribosomal RNA", at positions 28 to 523 of the family's 1533-position model. The record is from RNAcentral.
GACGAACGCUGGUGGCGUGCUUAACACAUGCAAGUCGAACGAUGAACCCGGAGCUUGCUCCGGCGGAUUAGUGGCGAACGGGUGAGUAACACGUGAGUAACCUGCCCUUGACUCUGGGAUAACUGCUAGAAAUGGUAGCUAAUACCGGAUACGACCCUCGGUGGCAUCACCAGGGGGUGGAAAGAAUUUCGGUCAAGGAUGGACUCGCGGCCUAUCAGCUAGUUGGUGAGGUAACGGCUCACCAAGGCGACGACGGGUAGCCGGCCUGAGAGGGUGACCGGCCACACUGGGACUGAGACACGGCCCAGACUCCUACGGGAGGCAGCAGUGGGGAAUAUUGCACAAUGGGCGCAAGCCUGAUGCAGCAACGCCGCGUGAGGGAUGACGGCCUUCGGGUUGUAAACCUCUUUUAGUAGGGAAGAAGCGAAAGUGACGGUACCUGCAGAAAAAGCACCGGCUAACUACGUGCCAGCCGCCGCGGUAA